Molecule: RNA transcript, 7315 nt
Organism: Oreochromis aureus
Lineage: Eukaryota; Metazoa; Chordata; Actinopteri; Cichliformes; Cichlidae
Exons: 2
Source: RefSeq, a predicted model, not a curated record
UCCAGUUUUGUUAAGCGAUCUAAGCCUGAACAGCUACGCGUUGUGUCCAGUAGAGGGCUCUGUUGCUUAGUUAGCGGCAAGCUGCACUUCCAGCUCAGACCGGAUUUCGUGGCGCACAUGUCCCAGUAAGCAGCUCUCAAUGAAGCAUGAAGCAGCGUGAUACCGGACUCUAGCAAAAUACAAUUUGCAGCCCUUGGAAUGCGGAGCGAGGUACAUGUUUUAAGUUGUAUUUGAUUGUUUAGUUGAUAUUUUGUUGUAUUUUCUGCUUUAUUUAAGUUCAUAUUUGUAAUAAGCGUCUAAGAAAAUGUAUUUUGUGUUUCUGUUUAGUUUUCACGGUGCAUUGGCGCACCUCAGUACUGUUAGAUUCUGAACGAAUCUCCAAGUAAAAAUUACUGCACCCGUCGAGGCUCUCUCUAUUUCUUCCUUGGUCCGGGGGACUGCUACAGUGAAAACUCGGUCGCUGAGUGAAGGCUACUUGCUAGCUCCCAUGCCUGAUGAGUGCAGCCCGUGCCUGUCCAGCGAGGUCCGUGUGUCAGCUGUGAGAGAUUUCUACGCCAGUCAAGAUCAUCAUUGCUUCGUCGCCUACCUCCACUUUGAACUCUGAUGCUCACUUUACAAAGGUGCAGGUAUUAUGACCAUUAAGGACUUUGCUGAUAACAAAGUUAAAAUGUCUGCACACUAAUUCAGAAUUAAUUGCCUUAAAUAUUUUUGUGGUUUACAGCCUUAAAGGUGUACUGCUUUGCACUAAGUAAUCACAAUCUUUAAAUUGUAUGGGUUUAUUCCUCUUGAAAGUAACGUUAUGGUAUAUCAGCAGUAUUUACAGUUACAUUUUGUCUAAUAUGUGGGUGCUAAUCUGUUUAUUUAUGUGAUGUAAACAUCUGAUGUGAGCAUUGUUUCCAAAAAGUAACACUCACGUAAGUUUAAGUCCAGACGUUAUCGCAUAGAGCAACAUACACAUUACAGUGACAAAAUGUUGAACCCUGCUGAAGAAGCUGACGACUCAGAGCAACAAGGAGUAAGAUCCAGCAAUCGUGAAAGGCAUUUAACUGAAAAAGGUAAAGAAAUGCAGGAAUAUGAGGCAAAGAAAAAUGAGAAGGCAUUUAACAAAGCUUAUGACACUUGGAAGAAGGCAGCUAAAGAAAUCAGAACAAAGCUGAAAACUUUCUGCUCACCUGAAGAGUUAAAUAAUGCCAGUCAUGAAAUAAGAGACAAGCACGCCGUAGUACAACAGCAUUAUGAACCCAUUCGCCGCAGCCAAUCCAUGACGCCAGACAUUGUUAAGCGAAUGGAUGCUUGUGCAGUGCUAACAACGGACAUUUGUGAAGUUAUUGCUAAACGACAGGAAAAUAUCGAUCAGCUCUUUAACGAUCGCCUUGAAAAGGAAAGAGUUCGAGUGAUGUUAAACAAAAAGGACUAUGGUUCUGUGUUUGGUGAUACAAAAACCGAAACGUCGUUCCCAGAGGGUUCAGUCGCACACUCAAAGGCAGAUUCUACUGGCAGUCGUGAGGUGGAAGCAGAAGCUGAACUUGCAGCCAAAGUGGAACAAGCAAAGGCCACACAAGAAAUAUUGGCACAGGAAACCAAGAUCAGCCAAAUGGAAAAUGAGUGGAAAAUAAAGGAAGUGGAAACAAAGGCAAAGUUGGAGGAGGAAAAGACUAAACUUCAACAGUUAAAGGCAGACAGUGAAGUGAAAGUAGCAGCUGCACGAGUAAGAGCCCUUAGCGCUCAAAAUGACAUUGAAAGCCAUGAUCAAGUGUCCUGCUACAACUUAGAAAAUUCUGGAAAUCUCCCCAACAGCGCACCACGGCUCUCUUUAAAUCCACGAGCACCGACAUUUAGACCUCACAAUACUUCUCCAGAACAAGAAGAACUUAGCAUAGUUCAGGCCCUUGCCAGCUCUCUUACCCUAAACAGGCUUCCUGUACCUGAGCCCACUAUCUUUAGUGGCGACCCCCUAAAGUUUAUGGAUUGGAAGGUAUCCUUUAUGGCACUAAUUGGUGACAAACCUUUACCUGUGUGUGAGAAAAUGUUAUAUCUAAAGAGCUAUCUUGCAGGUGAAGCACGAAAGGCAGUAGAGGGAUAUUUCUUCCGCAACAGUGAGCAGGCAUACGCAGGCAUUUGGAGCGUUCUAGAGGAAAGGUAUGGCAGCCCAUUUGUUAUCCAAAGAGCCUUUAGGGCUAAACUCACAAAAUGGCCUAAAAUAGCUGCCAAUGAUCCCAUAGCGCUGAGGGAGUUUGCAGAUUUUCUCCAAAGCUGUGCUGAGGCUAUCCCUCAAGUCAAAGGCCUAGAUAUCCUUAAUGAUUGUGAGGAAAAUCACAAGCUUCUAAGAAAACUGCCUGAGUGGAUAGUGCAGAGAUGGAGCCGCAUUGUGGUGGAGGAGCUAGACAAAAGCCAAGACUACCCCAACUUCGCUCGCUUUACAAAGUUCAUACAAAAUGAAGCUAAAGUAGUUUGCAAUCCUGUUGCUUCACCAUUCCUAAUGAGCGAAAGGGCAUCAGAAGAGCGGCACGUUAAAAGAGCGAAGGCACUCAGUACUACCUCCCAACCAAAGUCUCCACCAAUCCCAGUAUCUAUUUCUAGACCUAAACCCCCAUGUUUGUUUUGCAAAGAAGAAUCGCACGGCAUAGCUAAGUGUCCUGCUUUUGCAGCAAAAACUAGUGAUGACAAAAGAGUUUUCAUUCAGGAAAAUCAUCUCUGCUUUGGAUGUUUGAAAAGGGGUCAUGUAACCAAAGAAUGCAGAGGACGUCACUCCUGUAGUAAGUGUGGUCGGCGUCACCCCACCUGUCUACACACAGAAAGAGUGAAUGAACCUAAAGAGAGGAAAACUGAGGAUUCUAAAUCCCCAGAUGAAGGUGCAAAGAAGGAAGUGCAUAAUGUUAUGACUCAUGUACUAACAAGGAAAACAUCUUCCACAUCCAGCAUAGUACCAGUAUUUGUGUCAGUUGCAUCUGAGCCUGAGAAAGAAAUACUUACAUAUGCCCUGCUUGACACCCAGAGUGACUCAUCCUUUAUUUUAGAGGAUUUGGCUUCAGAACUAAAUGUAGACGCCCAACCAGUGCAGUUAAAGCUUAGCACCAUGACUUCCGUCGACACAGUGGUCGCAAGUAAACUUGCUAACAACUUACAGGUGCGUGGGUUUGACUCUGAGACUCGUGUCCGAAUAGAACAAGCCUACUCUCGUGACUUUAUCCCAGUUGACAAGUCUCAUAUCCCUACCAAGGAAACUGCACUACAGUGGCCACACCUUGAAAGCUUGGCUGACAAGUUACAGCCAUUGCAGAACUGUGAAGUAGGUCUGUUGAUUGGUUAUGACUGCCCAUCAGCACUAGCCCCCCUAGAGAUCGUCACAGGCAAAAUAAGCGAGCCUUUCGCACAAAGAACCUUACUAGGAUGGAGUAUUAUUGGUUCUGGUAAUCCCCACCUAGACAGAGAAGGUAACCAGAGUUAUGUGCACAGGAUCACGGUCAAAGAAAUGCCCAUACCAUCAGCUACAGAUGUACUCAAAGUCCUAGAGACUGACUUUAAUGAGAGAAACUAUGAGGACAAGUAUGUAUCACAGGAUGAUGUUCGCUUCAUACAAAUCCUCAGUGAUGCAAUAAAACAAAGACCAGAUGGACACUAUGAGAUGCCGCUUCCCUUCAAGGGCAAUGAUCCGCCAGCUCUUCCCAACAACAAGAAGCUAGCCACAGUCCGACUGCAACACCUGAAGAAAAGGCUAAAGGCUGAUAAACAGUAUCAUGAACAUUACUGUUCCUUUAUGAGAGACAUUAUCAGCAGUGGUGAUGCAGAAUUAGCCCCUCCUUUGUCUGAUGGCGAGACUGCAUGGUACAUCCCACACCACGGGGUAUAUCACCCGAAAAAACCAGCCAAGCUAAGAGUCGUCUUUGACUGUUCAGCAAAAUUUCUCGGUGUCUCAUUAAACGACACUCUUCUCACAGGUCCAGAUAUGAUCAACUCAUUGGUGGGGGUACUCUGUCGUUUCAGGAAGGAAAAUGUAGCCAUAAUCUGUGAUAUCGAGAGAAUGUUCCACCAGUUCUCUGUUUGUCCAGACAUGCGCAACUAUCUGAGAUUUCUGUGGUGGCAGGAUGGACAAUUAGACACAGAACCCAGAGAGUACAGAAUGGCUGUACAUCUAUUCGGUGCCAGUUCAUCCCCUGGAUGUGCUAAUUUCGGCCUGAAAUACUUAGCACAACAGCACAAAGCAGACUAUCCUAAGGCCUCAGAGUUUGUUGAACAGAACUUUUAUGUAGACGAUGGUCUAACUAGCGUCCCAUCAGUUAAAGAGGCACAAGAACUCAUCACCAAAACGCAAGCACUUUGUAGACUCGGCGGUCUACAUCUGCACAAGUUCAACUCAAACCAAAGUGAUGCGCUUUCCCAGCUGGAAACCUCAGACAGAGCAGACACCACAGAACCACUCGAUCUCAAACCUGACACAGCAGCUGAAGGCCAUGUGCUCGGCAUCCAGUGGUCAAUCAAAAAUGACACUUUCAGUUUCAAAAUAAACACUAAGGACCAGCCUCCUACUCGCCGGAGCAUACUGUCAGUGAUCUCAUCCCUGUAUGACCCACUAGGGUUCGUAGCUCCCUUCACCUUAAGAGGCAAGAGUAUCCUACAGGAACUGUGUCGCAGAGGCACUGAAUGGGAUGACCCCCUUCCCGACAACUUACGUUCACGGUGGGAGGACUGGAAAGAUGGUUUGGAAAGACUAAAAUCGGUUGCAGUGCCUAGAUGUUACCACCCACCAGAACUAACAGACAUUGUAAAGGUGGAACUGCAUCACUUUUGUGAUGCUAGUGAUUCAGGAUAUGGUGCAUGCUCCUAUAUUAGGUACCUCAGCAACGAGAAGGUCCACUGUAGUCUUGUUAUGGCUAAGGCAAGAGUCGCACCUACCAAGGUCACCAGUAUCCCACGAUUAGAACUCUCAGCCGCAGUCACAUCAGCCAGAAUGAGCAGCAUGCUAAACGCGGAGCUUCAGAUGUGCAUUAAUGAAGAGUUCUUUUGGACUGACUCCCAAGUAGUCUUAGCCUAUAUUAACAACGAGGCACGACGGUUCCACGUCUUUGUUGCCAACCGGGUUCAGUUAAUUAGGCAAACUACAGAUCCCAAACAGUGGCACUACAUUGACACAGCUCAGAAUCCUGCAGAUUACGCCUCUAGAGGGCUCAGUGCAUCAGAGAUCAUGUCAACAUGUUGGUUGUCUGGUCCAAAGUUUCUGUGGGAACAUGACAUUUCAUAUGCACCCAGCCCCUCUGCUGUGUUGUUGGUAGGGGAUCCAGAAGUCAAAGCAGUCAAAGCUCUCACAACUCUGACAAGUGAACAAGACAAUAUCCUCAGCCGUUUGUCAAGGUUUUCAAGCUGGUCAAUGCUCCUUAAAGUGGUUGCAAGGAUAAAAAGAUUGAGAUCCAGCAAAGCUCAGUAUAGAAACUUUGUAACAGUAGACGAACGGAAAACAGCUGCUGACACAAUAAUAAAGCUUCUUCAGCAGCAGGCCUUUUCCCGAGAGAUGGAAGUGUUGAAGGUGGGAGAUAACCUUCAGAGUUCAAGUCCCCUCUUUAGAGUAGAUCCAGUACUAGAUCAAGGGCUUCUCCGUGUUGGAGGAAGACUGAAGAAGUCAACACUCUGUCAGGGACUUAAGCACCCCAUCAUCCUCCCGAAAGACCAUCACAUUACAAAGUUGAUCAUUACUCAUUUUCACGCACAGAUUUUUCAUCAAGGCAGAAGUCAAACUCUUAUGGAAAUCAGAUCAAACGGAUUUUGGGUGAUUGGUGGGAGCAAGGAAGUUGCAAAACUAAUAAGCAAAUGUGUUCAAUGUCGAAAACUACGACGUUCACCAGAAGAACAACGCAUGUCUGAACUUCCAAAGGAACGAGUUGAAAUCUCAGAUCCUUUCAUGUAUUGUGGAAUGGACUGUUUCGGACCAUUUGUCACAAAACAAGGUCGUAAAGAGCAUAAAAGGUAUGGACUCCUCUUUACAUGUCUUUCCUCACGUGCAGUCCACAUUGAGAUGCUUGAGGAUCUUUCUACUGACUCUUUCAUCAACGCUCUGAGAUGUUUCAUCAGCUUAAGAGGAGCUGUUUGUAAGUUGUACAGUGACCAGGGUACAAACUUCAUUGGAGCCAAAAAUGAGCUGAGAGAGUCUCUUAAACAAUGCGACACAGAUGCCUUAGAAGCAUUCCUUGCCAAUAAACAGUGUGAGUUCGUAUUCAAUGCCCCAUCUGCUAGCCACGCAGGAGGUGUGUGGGAACGACAGAUUCGAACCAUCCGCAAUGUUCUCAAUGCCACCAUUGCUCAAUGCCAAGGCAGGCUGGAUGACAGCUCUCUAAGAACUCUAUUCUAUGAGGCGAUGUUUAUCGUUAAUGGCCGACCACUGAGCGUCGAUGGAAUCAAUGAUCCUAAAUCUCCUGAACCUCUAACUCCAAAUCACCUCAUAUUGAUGAAAUCAAAGGUUGCACUGCCUCCACCAGGAAAGUUCGUGAAAGAGGACUUGUAUGCAAGGAAGCGGUGGCGCAGAGUACAGUAUCUCACUGAGCAGUUUUGGAGUAGAUGGAAAAGAGAGUACCUUCUGAACAUAUCUACGAGACAGAAAUGGCACGUACCACGUCGAAAUCUUAAAGUUAAUGACAUAGUCAUUAUCAAAGAAGACAUGCUUCCCAGAAAUCAGUGGCAACUGGCUCGAGUGGUUGAAGCACCAGAAGAAGAUGACGGUUUGGUCCGCAGAGUCAAGCUUCAAGUUGGCGAUCGAGGCUUAAUAAAGAAGCAGGGAACAGCACACAAACCUCACAUAGUUGAGCGACCUGUUCAAAAGCUUGUAGUUCUAUUAGAAAAUAACUAAUUGAUGUUUCAAUCAAUACUGUCACAUCAGACGUAUUUUUGCGAAGGUUUAUUGAUGAUGUACUUGAAAUUGUGUUUGUUCUUGUAGUAAUGUCCAUAUGUUAAGUCUGGAAAUAAUGUAUAGAAUGUUGUUUGCUAUACAUGAUUUGGUGGGAGUGUAAAGGUCCAGUUUUGUUAAGCGAUCUAAGCCUGAACAGCUACGCGUUGUGUCCAGUAGAGGGCUCUGUUGCUUAGUUAGCGGCAAGCUGCACUUCCAGCUCAGACCGGAUUUCGUGGCGCACAUGUCCCAGUAAGCAGCUCUCAAUGAAGCAUGAAGCAGCGUGAUACCGGACUCUAGCAAAAUACAAUUUGCAGCCCUUGGAAUGCGGAGCGAGUUUUCACGGUGCAUUGGCGCACCUCAGUACUGUUAGAUUCUGAACGAAUCUCCAAGUAAAAAUUACUGCACCCGUCGAGGCUCUCUCUAUUUCUUCCUUGGUCCGGG